Molecule: ribosomal RNA, 433 nt
Filed under: uncultured bacterium
Lineage: Bacteria
Description: partial 16S ribosomal RNA
Rfam family: Bacterial small subunit ribosomal RNA
Source: RNAcentral
AACGAACGCUGGCGGCAGGCCUAACACAUGCAAGUCGGGCGAGGACUUCGGUUCUAGCGGCGGACGGGUGAGUAACGCGUGGGAAUGUGCCCUUCUCUACGGAAUAGCCCUGGGAAACUGGGAGUAAUACCGUAUACGCCCUUUUGGGGAAAGAUUUAUCGGAGAAGGAUCAGCCCGCGUUGGAUUAGGUAGUUGGUGGGGUAAUGGCCUACCAAGCCGACGAUCCAUAGCUGGUUUGAGAGGAUGAUCAGCCACACUGGGACUGAGACACGGCCCAGACUCCUACGGGAGGCAGCAGUGGGGAAUCUUAGACAAUGGGGGCAACCCUGAUCUAGCCAUGCCGCGUGAGUGAUGAAGGCCUUAGGGUUGUAAAGCUCUUUCAGCUGGGAAGAUAAUGACGGUACCAGCAGAAGAAGCCCCGGCUAACUCCGUG